Cephus cinctus (wheat stem sawfly) is the source of this 867-nucleotide long non-coding RNA. RefSeq lists it as uncharacterized. The record is from RefSeq and is a predicted model, not a curated record. Lineage: Eukaryota; Metazoa; Arthropoda; Insecta; Hymenoptera; Cephidae. The transcript is spliced from 3 exons.
UGUUUUCCCGUUAUAUCGCAAGCGAUUAGACAUCAGUGACCAAUAUCAGGUUGAAUUAAGGAUGCCAGUAGCUCAGUACGAAUUUCAGAGAGUAGCAGCUUCCGCUUUAACAUUAGUUGAUAGACUUGGGAGUAGAUCUUUUUUAUAAGUAUUGCUUGUGUGGCUAUACUGUGAGAGAGUGGAAGAAAAGGUUACACGAAGUAUUUUUACUUCUUGUGUGCCAAUAAUAAUGGAUUUCCUGAAUCAGGCCAUUGUAUGAGGCCUAUAAUCUGAUGUGCCUGAUAUCAGAAUUUAUUCUGAGUAUUCCCUCACAUAAGCUAAUUAAUACGGGAUUCAACGAUAAUUUCAUGGAUUGGCACAAACACUAAUCCUUCACUGUAGACGGCAUCUCUAUCCCUCACCGUCAUCCUUCACUUCCCGGGUCUAAAUGCCAGACUACUUCGCAUUUUUGAAAAAUUGGUGAGUCUCCUUCGCGACACUGGUUUCGCUGAAAUCCAGGUGUAACUUGAAAUGAGAAUCUGGUUGCAACCUAUCCUGAACCUCUGGAGACUGCGGUUUCUUGCGAUCUUGAACUGACUUCUGAAGCUUUCUGUAUUUAAUAGCGUCUGCGUUAAAGGGAUGAAACCAUCACGUUUUGAAUUCAUUGCGAAGAAUAUUUUCAGCGUUCAUCAUGCUUAAAGCUGCCUCCAGUAACGGAGCGAAGUCUUCAUUGGGUGGAAGAUGUGCGUCGCGUUAGGAUACAAGACGAUUAUUUGUGUGACAUAAUCAAGUGUUGCAUGUUUCCACCCAUGAACAAGACGACGGACAACCGAAUAGAAUUUUGGAUGCUCCAGGAAUAAAGAACUGUGCUAAAGCACUUGUAGAAGC